AGUUCCAGAGAUGACUUGACAGAAGAGGGCCACGCUACAUAGUGCAGAAAAUUGCACACACACACACACACACAAAAUAUUUGUGCAGUAUUUCCCAGGGAACAUCUCCCUAUUUUACUGUCACGAGUAUAUUAAUUAACUAAACUAGUUACACACAAAUGCUGAAUAGCAGAAUAUUUGUAAAGAAGAAGUUCAAGAGGUUCUGAAACAAUUUCAAAAAUAUCUCACUAGUUCAAUAAUUACACAAGAGGAUUUCUUAACGGUUGUUUGGGUCCCUUCCAACUCUCCAGUUCUGUGAUUCUAUAAUGUUGUUCUAAAACUGAACAUUGGACUUCCCGAGAAUUCAAAAGAGGUUGAACCGGCUGAACGAUGUUUUCAUUUCCAGAAGAAAACACCCCUGCUCAAGUAAGUAUAAAGGGAAAGCUAAAUCAUGAAGCUUAGAUUGCAAUAAAGUCGGAGGGCGGGGGAGAGUGGAAGGCAAUUCAUUGAAUGAAAUGAUUCACUAGAGACAGUUCCUAGUAUUUGCUGCUCAUUUCAGCCAGCGGACAUUGUCCUUGAUCAAACUAUGUUGUGGCUUUCACAGUAAUCGCUUCAGAAAUUUGCUCGCUGAAAAGAAAUGGAUUGGACUGAACAGAUUCCAACAUUGUUCCUGCUCAUCCUUACAAUUAUAUUCAUUUGGAAAUGGGGCAGUUUCUGGAGUAGGAGCUCCAAAAAUCUCCCACCAGGUCCGACACCUUUACCACUUGUUGGGAAUCUCCACAUGAUGGAUCUGAAGAGACCUUACAGAACAAUGUUAAAGGUAACAUUUUCUGUUCUUUCUGCAGCAAGGCAAAGAUUCUGUGGAUCUUUUUAGGCCAGGUAGAUGUCAGUGUUCCAUCUCAUAUAUGCAGAUAUGCAAAAAUGAUAAAACUAUGUCAAGUAUGGCUUAUUCUUUUUUUUUCUUCCUUUUUGUGUGUGACUGCUGCUAUGGUUUAGGCUGAUAGCUGAUCUGUGCAGUGGAGGGACUGGGUGACUGGAGGAGGGGAAUAGGAAUGUCACAACCAGCCUGGGAUAUGGGUGACGCUGUGGUCUAAACCACAGAGCCUAGGGCUUGCUGAUUAGAAGAUCAGCAGUUCACAUCCCCGCAACAGGGUGAGCUCCCGUUGCUCAGUCCCUGCUCCUGCCAACCUAGCAGUUCGAAAGCACAUUAAAGUGCAAGUAGAUAAAUAGGUACCGUUCCGGCGGUAAGGUAAACGGCAUUUCCAUGCGCUGCUCUGGUUCGCCAGAAGCGGCUUAGUCAUGCUGGCCAUAUGACCCGGAAAACUGUCUGCAGACAAACGCCAGCUCCCUUGGCCUGAAAGCACGAUGAGCACCGCAACCCCAGAGUCGUCCAUAACUGGACUUAACAGUCAGGGAUCCCUUUACCUUCACCUUAACCAGCCUUAUCCGCAAAAAUUAGCUGCAAAAUUAUCGAACUUUUCAGUGUGAAGCCAGCACUUCUAAAUACAUCAUUUUAGAAUCCACUCAAGUUUUCACAAUUAUCUUACGUGAAACAAAACAAAGCAAUUAUAUUGCUGAAUGUGGGCUUUUAAGUGCGCCCAUGUCUGAAAUUAUGUUCUUAUUGAAAAUGUUCAUCUCUUCGCAACACCCACAGUUCCCAGGAUUCUUUAGGCAGGUGUAAAAAAUUUUAUUAGAUUAAAUCUAGGUCUCCAGGGUAAUUUUAGCUAAAGGCAAUAUUGGAAAGCACUGGCGUUCCUCGGGUGAAACUUAGGAGCCUAAUUCUGAGCAGCCAGAACUGAUAGCUCAGUUGAUCAAGCAGGGGACUCUUAAUCACAGGGUCGUGGGUUCGAUCCCACGUUGGGCAAAAAGAUUCUUACAUUUCAGGGGGUUGGACUAGAUGAUUCUUGUGGUCCCUUCCAGUUCUACAAUUCUAUGAUUCUAACUUUCAAUUUGUUAAGGAAGGAAAAUUCACAUCAGUUUUCAACUUUAUUUGCUCACAAUUAUCUCCAAAUAUGCCUGUUGUCUUUGUCCAUGGAGUUUUCCUGGCAGGGAUACUGGGGUGGCUUGCCGGUUCCUGCUCCAGGUGGAUCACGUUUGGUCAAAACUCUCCACUAUAACCUGUCCAUCUUGGGUGGCCCUGCACGGUACAGCUCACAGUUAUUCAAGCCCCUUUGCCACUGCAAGGCAGUGAUCCAUGAAGUUGAGGCUCCAACUUUGGCCACCUCAUGAGAAGAGAAGACUCCCUGGAAAAGACCUUGAUGUUGGGAAAGAUGGAGGGCACAAGGAGAAAAGGACGACAGAGGAUGAGAUGGUUGGACAGUGAUCUCGAAGCUACCAGCAUGAGUUUGACCAAACUGCGGGAGGCAGUGGAAGACAGGAGUGCCUGGCGUGCUCUGGUCCAGGGGGUCACGAAAAGUCGGACAUGACUAAUCGACUAAACAACAACAACAUCUCCAAAUAAAAUAGAAGAGCUGCAGAAUUUGCCGUCUUACUGCACUUUCUUCUUAAUAAUUUGAAGUUACUCCUCUUGCUAAAGGCACCCAUGUGAUAGACAAUGCUUAGACAUUUUAAGUUGAUGAAUUAUACCAUGCAAUCAUGUAAAUUAAAUCAGUUUUUAUUUCAGAUCUGAGAGAGUAUCUAUGUAUGUUUAGGGGGAUUUAUUUGAUGUUUCUCUCUUUUGGUCAUUGAACUCCAGUUGUCAAAAGAACAUGGCCCCAUCUUCCGCAUCCAAAUGGGAUUCCAGAAAAUGGUGGUGCUGACAGGGUAUGAGACAGUCAAGGAGGCUCUGGUGAAUCAGGCGGACGCAUUUGCAGAGAGACCCACCAUCCCAAUGUUUGAGGAGUUUACAAGGGGCUUUGGUGAGGCCUUUCCUUCUGUAUAAUAGCUUGUGCUGUUUGUGAAAUUUAGUUAUCAUAGCAAUAUAGAAUCUGUGCCAAAAGGUUCAUAGAACUGAUUGUUAGUUUCAAUUAUAACUUGGAGGACAGCCUGCCACUCGACCAGUGUAGCUGCAGCCAUUGGAUGGAUAAUGCCAAAUGUCUUUGUCACUGCCAGCAAAAGAGUAGGGUUGAGGGAAUAGGAGAAUCUGGUCAUAAAAUAAUGUACCGUUACAACUGAAGGGCCGUAAACUAGAGAACCCCCUGUGCAAUUGUGUUUUGAGGGUACAACCCAUAGGAAUAUUGCUGAAGUUCUGGAGAAUGUGUGUCUUAUCAGAGACCGGAAGAGGGACCAACUGAGAGGCAUCCUCAGUUCCACAGAAGAAGGGUGAGAUAAGCCAAAACAUAUUAUUGUGGCCAUGAUAACUUGAAACUUGAUCUCUGCUCUUCAGGUGUUCUUUUUUCACAUGGUGAAAACUGGAAAGUGAUGCGGCGGUUCUCACUAAGCACAUUACGGGACUAUGGCAUGGGGAAAAGGUCCAUAGAGGACAGAAUCGUGGAAGAAUGCAGUGUCCUGAUUAAGACAUUUGAAUCUUACCAAGGUGGGUUAGUGUUUCCCUCUACAGCUCCAGGGCAAAACAACACUACAUUAGAUGCCCAGAAUCAUGUGUUAUAUACAUAUUGCUAACUCUCAGAACUAUAGUAACCAAGAUUCCCUGUGAAGAAGUUACCAAUCUGCAGUGUUCAGGUCAGUGUGAGGUAAUGCUGGCCUCUGUCCCUCUUUCCUGUCCUCCCUCCUACGAUCCCCUCUCGCAUCUCUGCCUCCCAAAGGCUUGCACAGCUGUUUUUUGCAGCAGCCCUGGCUUCAAGCUCCCAAGGAGAGGGGAAAGGAGAGGUGGCUGAGGGAACACUUCAUGAGGGAGGGUGUUUGAAAAAGGGUGAGAGACCACUGGCUCUGCAGGCAAGGGGUGACAUACCGGUAACUGGCUCCUGAGGCUUGGAGUGCAUUUGCCCCCCAGGAAAACCACAGAAAGAAUGUAGCUGGUCAAGGGAGUCAUGGACUCAAAAAGGAUGAAGACCUCUGGUUAGAUAUAUACUGCCCAUGACUCUUUUUAGCGUUUCUUAACUCAGAUAUCUUCAAGUACACCAGAAUGUAGGAUCAGUUUCUAAGAUAAAUGUGCUCUAUACAUCGGUAGGCUGACACUGGGAACCUAAGGCAGAGAAGAGCAAUUCUACUUGGUAUUUUAUCUGAGCAUUGCUUAAUAUUUAUGUAUAGGACAACCAUUUGAAACCAGCACAAUUAUGAAUGCCGCUGUUGCCAAUAUCAUAGUGUCCAUCCUACUAAACAAGCGAUUUGAAUACGAAGACUCCACAUUUAGAAAACUUCUGAAGUUGGUCAAUGAAAAUGUCCGGCUUUUUGGAAGCCCCUCUGUCAUGGUAAUCUAAGCUUUCUCGAAUGGAAAAGAAAUAGUUGGUUGUAUUCACAGAAUACUCAAUGUGGGUGCAAUUCCAUAUUGUUCGGGCUUCACUACAAAACACAUCUUGAGAAAUAUGAGUUGCGUAAGAUCCCAGGACAGCAUUUCCUUCCAAAGGUCCUCACUCAGUUGUCUUUGUGCAGCUUUUAGGAGGGGAGAGGUAUUGCAUAUUUGCAAGGAAAAGUAUUAGUAGAAAGGAAUUGCAAUCUUCAGGUAUUAAGGAAAGCAGAGAAAUUAAUACUCACCUUUCAAAGUAAAGGUAUAUUGGCCAAAUAAUACAAAUAAUUAUUCGGUUUAGAUCAAUCAUCCUUCAGUUUUGAGCAGAAGUGACAAAGAGACAUUAAUUCUCCAGUUACUAAAGAUGAAUGGAAGUGGUUAUAAUUUUGAAAGAGACAAUUGUUGGAAAUUCAAAAAUAUAGGAGCAGCUAUUUUACACAUAUAUUUUGGACUUGUUGUAAGAUUAAAAGCUUUUGGUUAUAUAUUAAAUUCUUGGUACCAAUAUGAUUUUAAUACCCAAAUACAUUUGAUUUGGAAAGGCAUAGCAAGCAAGGGAGAUUUUGGACAUUGCAACUGUUAUAACCACUACAGCAAGACUAGUCAAAGCUAAAUAUAUGUAUAAAUGUAUAAAACACAUGGGAUGCAGCAUUGUUAACACAACUGAAAAGUUUUAAAAGGGAUAUUGAAAGAAGGACCCCAAAUAAAUUUAUUUUUAAAAAGCAAAUAUAAAAUUUCAAGACAAUAUUCACACCAAUUAUUAUUUUCAUUCAUAUAAUUGGAUAUUCUGCUUAAAAUAUAAUAGUUAGAUAACUCAAACAUAACUGACGUUUUGUAUAUUGUAUGCAUGAUCUCAUGAAAUUAUAUAUAGUUGAAAUAUUUUAUUUCUUUUGUAAUUUCAUCUUUUUAAAAAAUAAAGGUGGUUUUUUAAUAUACACGACCCCAUAUCUAUCUGUUGGGGACUCCACUUCUACAUCCUUCUAUUGGGAGAAUGCCUGUCUAUUCCUAUGCCCCACUUCCUGACCCACUAGAGGACCUCUCCUCCUUAUUCCAACGCCUGCUUUUCUUAACCAGGAGUCUUUGUUGUGCAAGCUUUUUUGAAAGUCUAAGUCGGGUGUGGGGAACCUUUGACCCUGGCUAAUGCACAGGGAUAAUACAAGCAACGUUGGGGUAGAGCUAAAAAUGCCCCACCGCCAGCCCAAGACAGAUGCUGACAUGAGCCGAGGUGAAGCAAUUUGCCUCAGGUGGCAGAUCCAACCGCUUCCCUGUCCCUGCUGUUGCACCAUUGCCAGCCACAUCUCAGUUUUGCCCAUGCCACCAUGGCUGCUGCCACAGUGCCCUGUUUUGUGGCAGCACUGUGAGUGACACCAUGGGCCUGUGGGGGGACAGUGCCAGGGGGGGAAUUUUGCUGCCCCUGGCCACUUCUGGUUGACCUCUGUCUAGGGGCUUGUCCACAUCUCAGCAAACUGCUAAUACAGAAGUACAAGGGGGCUCCAUAACUACAACAGCACGUAAGAAAAUGGCCUCCAGCCUUGGCCUCUAAGGGAUAUUUAUUCAACGUUGCUCCAACCCAAGUACAUUUUUGUUCUGUGUCAUUGUUUAUUCCUCUGUGGAAGAUGAGAUAUUUGGAGUAUCACCUGAGAAUUAAGCACUGGGCUUUACUCUUCGUUGUAUUUUAUCCUUACAGCUUUAUAACGUAUUUCCUGCUCUUGGUUCGCUUUUGGGAGCCCGUAAGACUAUCCUUCAGAACAGAGAUGAGAUGCAUGCCUUCAUAAAUGCCACCUUCAUACAACACCUCAGAGAUCUGGAUAAAAAUGACCAAAGGAGCUUGAUUGAUUCAUUCCUUCUGAGACAGCAAGAGGUAAUGGAGUCUUUUAAGCCCACCAAUAAUUUUUUUUAUACUUUCAAAUGUUGAAAUUUUCACGUUUUAAAAAUACAUUUCCAUGUGAGCUGGUGUCUAAUAUACAGUGGUACCUCGGGUUAAGUACUUAAUUCGUUCCGGAGGUCCGUUCUUAACCUGAAACUGUUCUUAACCUAAAGCACCACUUUAGCUAAUGGGGCCUCCUGCUGCUGCUGCUGCUGCUGCUGCGCCACCACUGCACGAUUUCUGUUCUCAUCCUGAAGCAAAGUUCUUAACCUGAAGCACUAUUUUUGGGUUAGCGGAGUCUGUAACCCGAAGCAUAUGUAACCUGAAGUGUAUGUAACCCGAGGUACCACUGUACUCUGCACAUUUUAUUUUAUUUUUCCUCUAUAAAGCUUUGGCUAAUAUCUGGAGUCUGUGACCUGAUUGCUUGCAGGGCUGUUUUCCAGUGGGACUCCCACUCCUCUCAAGAGAAAAAGAAAAAAAACAACCUUUGAGAUACGGUAGCUCAGUUGGUUGGAACACGUUGCUGCGUACGCCAAGGUUGCAGAUUUGAUCCCUGUAAGGGACAGCUGCAGUCCUACACUGCUGAUGUUUGGAAUAGAUGAUCCUCAGGUCUUUCCAACUCUAUGAUUCCAUGAUUCCAUGACUAGUCCAACACGUCAUGCUCCCCCCCCCGUAUUUCUUUUGCACCAUGCUCCUUUCUUCAGCCUGUGACAUGCUUUCUUUCUUUCUUUUAAAAUAUUUUUAUUAAUUUUAAUGUACAAAAUUGUUUAAAGACAUACCACACAAAUUCUUACAUACAUAUUCUUAUUUGGACUUCCUUCAACACCUCCGUCCUAAUCACUUCUCCUGCAAUUCUUGACUUAAUAUUGCCUUUACCUUUCUUAACAAAUCAUCUCCCCCUUUCCAUUUUUACAAUAUUUCUUAAAUUACUCCUCACAGAACUGCUUGUAAACCUACAAACGUAAUUUGAUCAUCACAAAUAUUUUUUCAAAUACUCCAUAAAUUUAGUCCAGUCUUCGGUGAACCUCUGGUCCUGCCGGUUUCAGAUCCUUCCUGUUAGCUUGUCUAAUUCUGUGUAGUCCAUUAGUUUCAUCCUCCAUUCUUCUAACGUUGGUAGUUCUUCUUGUUUCCAUUUUUGGGCCAGUAAUAUUCUUGCUGCUGUUACCGCAUAUAAAAAACGCUUACAGUCUUUUCUAUUUAUAUCAUUUCCAACAAUACCCAAAAUAAAUGCUUCUGGCUUCUUUAUAAAAGUAUAUUUCAUCAUUUUUUCAACUCGUUAUAUAUCAUCUCCCAAAAGCAUUUCACUUUUUUACAUUCCCACCACAUAUGGUAAAAUGAUCCUUCUUUUUCUUUACAUUUCCAACAUUUAUUACUCACUUUAUACAUUUUUGCUAACUUAACUGGUGUGAUAUACCAUUUAUACACCAUCUUCAUCACAUUUUCUUUUAAUGCAUUACAUGUGGUAAAUCUCAAACCUUCUUUCCACAGUUUUAUCCAAUCACUUAACUGUAUGUUAUAUCCAAAAUCUUUUGCCCAAUGAAUCAUAACUGAUUUUACCUCCUCAUCUUUCAAGUGCCAUUCAAGCAGUAAUUCAUACAUUUUAGACAAAAUUUUAAAAUCAUUAUUCAACAUUUCUUGUUGAAACUUCGAUUCUUUUCCAGAGAAACCUUUUUCUUUAACAUCCUGUUUAAAUAUUUCAUUCACCUGGUAAUAAUGUAACCAAUUGUUAACAUACUUUCACCUCCUCGUAUGGUUUCAAUUUCCAUUUUCCUCCUUCUCUAAUUAUUAGUUUGCCAUAUGUUAUCCACUUCCCACUCAUAUUGACCUUUUUUACACACAUCACUUCUAAUGGAGACAACCAAUGUGGUAUUUUUGGUUCCAGAAGGCUUUUAUACUUAUCCCAAAUUUCUAUAAGAGAUCUUCAAAAUAUGUGGUUUCCAAAUCCUUUAUGGACUGUUUUCUUAUCAUACCAUAAAUAUGUAUGCCAUCCAAAUCUAUUAUCAUAACCUUCUAAGUCCAGCAAUUCUGUAUUUUCCAAUUUCAUCCAUUCCUUCAACCAACAGAGGCACAAUGCUUCAUAAUAUAAUUUCAAGUCCGGCAGGGCAAAGCCUCAUCUUUCCUUAGCAUCUGUUAGUAACUUAAAUUGUAUUCUCGGCUUUUUGCCCUGUCAGAUAUAUCUUGAAAUAAUCUUCUGCCACUCUUUAAAUAUUGCUGCCCCUUUUAUUAUUGGAAUUGUCUGAAACAAGAACAACAUCUUUGGUAGCACAUUCAUCUUUAUCGCUGAAAUCCUUCCCCAAAAUGAUAAUUUCAACCUUCCCCAUACCUCUAGAGCUCUUUUGACACUAUUCCACAUUGGUGUAUAAUUAUUUUGAUACAGAUCAAUAUUUUUGGGAGUUAACCAAAUUCCUAAAUAUUUAACUUUCUUUACCACUUCUAUACCUAUCUGUUGCUGCAACGUUUCAACCAAUUCCUCUUCCAUAUUUUUAGCAAUCAUCUUAGUUUUCCUUUUGUUUAAUUUAAAACCUGCCACUUGACCGAACUGUUCUAUCUCCUCUAUUACUUCCUUAAUAGUUAUUGAUGGAUUUUCAAUUGUUAAUACCAAGUCAUCAGCAAAGGCUUUUACCUUAUAUUCAUUUCGACUAACUAUAACACCCUUUAUUAACUCAUUUCUCCUUAUAGAUCUUAAAAGAACUUCCAGUACCAAUAUGAAUAAUAAUGGUGAAAGAGGACACCCUUGUCUUGUAUCUUUAGUAAUUGCAAUGUUUUCUGUUAUUUUGCUCAGUAUAUAUAGCUUUUAAUCCAUUUAGGAAGAAUUGACCCAUGUCCAUAGAUUCCAAAUUUUUUAACAUAAAUUCCCAAGAUAUAUUAUCAAAGGCCUUUUCAGCAUCCACAAAAAUUAACAUUGCUUGUUUUUCAUUCCUGGCUGUCAGAUAUUCAGUUAUAUUGACUAUAUUUCUUAUGUUAUCUUUCAUCUGUCUGCCAGGAAGAAAACCUGCCUGAUCUUUAUGUAUAAUUUCUUUCAAUAUUUUUUUCAUCCUGUUAGCUAAUAUACUUGCAAAUAAUUUAUAAUCUUUAUUCAACAACGAAAUUGGCCAAUAAUUCUUUACUUGCGUUAAAUCUGAGUCCUGCUUCGGAAUAAAUGUAAUAUAUGCUUCUUUCCAUGUUUCUGGUAAUUCUCCUUCUUUAAUAUAUUAUUCAUAACUUCUUUCAUUGGUACAAGUAGGGUGUGUUUCAUUUCUUUAUAAUAUCUUGCAGUAAAUCCAUCCGGUCCUGGUGUCUUCCCACUUUUCAAUUCUUUUAUAGCUUCUUUAAUUUCCUCUACAUCAAUUGGGUCGUUCAGACUGUCUUUUUUAUCAGUCAGGAUUUUCUGCACCUCCUUUUUCCUCAGGAAUUCUUCUAUUUUUUUAAUGUCACUUUUCUCAGUUCUUUUAUAUAAAUGUCUGUAAAAGUCCACAAAUCCUUUCCUAAUUUCCUUCGGAUUAUCUAUUUCUUUUCCAUCUACAAUAAUUUUAUUAAUUGUAUUCUGUUCCUUUCUUUUCUUAAUUUGCCAUGCCAGCCAUUUUCCAGACUUAUUUGCAAAAAAUUUCUGUCUCAUUCUUUUGAUAUUCCAUUCUACUUCUUUAUUUAUUAUCAUUGCAAAUUGAGUUUGUAAUAUUUUAAUAUUUUGCUUUAUUUUCAAAUCAUUUGCUUUUUUAAUUAAAUUCUUCUCAUUUUCCAUUUUUUGUUUUAAAAUUUCUUUUCUCCCUUUUCUCUAGUUUUCUUUUAUCGUAUUCUGCUGAAUAAAAAACCUUGCACCACAGCUUUGCUGGCAUCCCAUACUAUACUAGUUUUCGUACCCUUAUUACAGUUAUUCACAAAGUAGUCUGUUAAGUUCUUACGUGCCUUUUCUAUUAUUUUCUGAUCAUCUAAAAGACUCUCAUUUAUUCUCCAUCGAAAGGAUUUUUCUUCUAUUCCUUUAAUAACAUACUUUAUUGCAUUGUGAUCCGAAAGUACCUUUGGUUGUAUUUCAAUUUUUAAAAUUCAUGGUGUUAAUUCACUAGAAAUCCAAACCUGGUCGAUUCUUGACAUUGACUGAUUUGCUUCUGAGUGGUAAGUAAAUUGCUUUUCUAAUGGGUGUCUUAAUCUCCAAAUAUCUAUCAAAUUACAGUUCUCAAUCAUAGAAAAGAAAGUCUUGCGUAAUUUCCCUUCUUUAACAUUCCCACUUGCUCUUAAUCUGUCCAUUUCCAUUGACACCACUCCAUUCAUAUCUCCCAUUAUUAUGAUUUUCUGAUCCAUAAAUUCAAAUAACUUUUCCUCCAAAUCUUUGUAGAAAUCAGUUUUAUUUCCAUUAGGUGCAUAGACCCUGACUAUUAUAAAUUUUUCGCCUUGCCAUUUGACUUGAACUGCAAUAACCCUACCUUCCUCAUCUUUGAAAAUCUGCUGAGCUUCUAAUUUAUUUUUUAUAUACAACACCACCCCUCUCUUCUUGCUUCUGUCUGAUGAAAUAAAUUCAUUACCUAGUUUUUUAUUAAUUAAUACUUUUUUGUGUCUUCUCGCCACAUGAGUCUCUUGCAAACAAAUGAUGUCCAAAUUCUUCUUCUUCAAAUAAUAUUCAAUUUUAUUGUGUUUUUUCUUAUCGUUCAUCCCAUUAACAUUCCAAGUCCAUAAUUUCAACGCCAUCUUGUGUUCUUUUUAUAAACCAAAUAAAUUAAAGUCUUAAGCCUGUUCUUCUUCUUCUUCUUCCUUUUCCUCUUCUUCUUCUUUUUCUUCUUCCUCUUCCUCUUCUUCUUCUUCCCUUUCUCCUUGUUCUUCUUUGUGGUCCUUCUCCCCUCUUUCCGGUCCCGCUGGGCCCCCUGCUCCCGCUCCAGCUUCGACUGCUUCCUCUCCCUUCCCAGUUCCUUGUAUCUUCUCAGAAACUUCUGUGUUUCAUCUGGAUUUGUGAGUUUAAAUUUCUUCCCUUUGUGAAAAAAGGAAAUCCCUUCUGGGAAUUCCCAUUUAAAUUCAAUUUGAUUUCUCCUCAAGGUCUGUGUCGGUGGUUUGUUAGGGUCCCGUUUUUCAAUAAUCGAAGUGGAAUGUCCUUAAAGAUGAUUAUAAAAUUCCCAUCAAUACUCAAUCUUUUUUCUCUAUUUUUCUGUAAUAUCAAAUUCUUCAUUUCUCUGUCUUUAAAAAUAAUUAAACAGUCACCUGGAAACUUCUUUGCUUUAACAGAUCUUGCCUUAAUUCGAAAUGCAUUUUGAAUGGUUUUCCUAACAUCUUCUACUUCCAUGCCUAACCACUGAGCAAUUUCUGAUGCCAGUUUCUCCCUUAUAUUCUCCCCUUGUACCUCAGGUACCAACCUCAAUCUCAAAUUCGCCUCUCUUUGCCUCAAGUCAUUCAUAGCAAUCGUGUCCCAUAUUCCUUCUUGUGUUUAAUUAAUUUCUGAAACUUCAGCUCUCAUCCUUUCCUCUUCCCUCUUUACCUCUCUCAUCUCCAAUUUUGUUCUUUUCAUUCAUUCCCUCCUCCAAACUUUGUGUUCUCUUUGUUACAUCCCUCAUUUGUCCUUUCAAUUCAUUAACUGUCAAAUCAAGUUUUUUAUCCAUCUGCUCCAACCUUGUCUCUAAGUUUUUCUCACUUUGUUUAAUAUCUCUCUUUAUCUCUGCAAACAUCUUUAAUAUGUCUCCUUUCAGUUCCAUCUCCUGUUUGGAUCCCCUUCUUUCCCCAGGUGUCGCACUUUCACUCCCUUUUUUCUGCGUGUGGGACAUUCUCUUGUCUUAGUAAUUUCCAAUUAAAAUUAUAACAUCCAAAGUUUGAAAAAAAAAAAUUCUUGCCACUUGCUUGGCUAAUCCCCGAUCAAGUUUUAUAACAUUCAAAAAUUGGGAGAUUAAAUUUUCUUGCCACUUGUUUGGCUAAUCCAAUCAAAUUAGUUAUGAUCCAUCAUACUGGAGAAGGGGGUGAAACAGAACAAUAGAUAAUAACAGAUUAAGAAGUGUGAUGGGAUGAUGAGCUGCUUGUGCGUAAAAUCGUAUCCCCUCAGAGUUUGUUCAAGUCCACAAACCUCUGUCUGUGACGGAGCCCCUCAGACAUGGCUCCUCUAGUCACUAGCAGAUUCCGACAGUGGUUGCUUUCGUAAUCGCUUCCAACAUAAAAGCUCCUUAACGGAAACACGUCUUCUGGACUCUCUGCGUGACAGUUUCCGGCGAGGAGUGGGUGUUCUUACAGGAGGUCCUGAAACCUCCCCACUGUUUUCGCUGGAAGUGUCUCUGAGCCAUCCCUCCAGCUCAGCUCCUCUCCCCUGCUGGUUCCCUCUUCAGCUGCUGAGUCUCUCCCAACCUGUGUGAGCCCUUUCACCUCCCUGCUGGUUCCCUCUUCAGCUGCUGAGUCUCUCCCAACCUGUGUGAGCCCUUUCACCUCCCUUCCGUCCGAUGGCAGUUCCCUGACAUCCACCUCCCCUCCAGGGCCCCCUUCACCCCCUCUCGCCCCCUCCUCUACGGGCGGUGAGGAGGCAAACCCCGGAAUGAACUUCCUUCAUCUUCCGAUGUCUCGAACACUUCUCUCCACCUGUUGCGGUUCCUGGUCUCGAGUACACCUCCUCCUCAGAGUCCAUCUCCCCUUCCCUUCCGAGUCCGGGAAUCCUUCCAACUCCUCCCCUCAUCAGUGGUCCCAAAGUAUUCCCUCCGGAACCUCUCCACAGGCUGAGGUUUCCUUGGGAACCUUUGAUGGAACGUUUCUAUCAAUACCUCGUCAUUGAUAUCUUCGGCCAUUACCCAAGUGUUUUCUGACUCCGGUUCUCCUUCCCACGCUACCAAAUACUCCACCUGAUCCCCCUUCCACCUGGCGUCGAGGAUUUCUGCCACAUGGCUGCUGCAUUCUCUUUCUUCUAUGACCGGUCCCCGAGUGGCCAUCCCUUCUCGUCCCCCCUUCGUACGGUGACAGUAACGACCUGUGAAAUACUGGGUGCAGUUUCAUGUGGUUGGGUAACCGGAGCCUGAAAGCCACAGGGUUGACCUGUUGAAUGACCUCAAAGGGACCCAACCUCCUGGGUCUUAAUUUCUUACAACCUCCUUUGAACGGCAACCCUUGGGUUGACAGCCACACCCUAUCUCCCACCCUUAUGGUUUCACCUUCCCUUCGGUUCUUGUCUGCCUGCCUCUUGUAUUCUUCCUUCGCCCUUUCUAAGUUGAGUUGGAGCUGACGAUGGAUUGCUUCCAUUUCUUCCACAAAAUGCUCGGCUGCCGGGACGCUCCAUCUCUCCCCAUCGCCCCCUGGGAAAGCCCUGGGAUGACACCCAUAAUUAGCCAAGAAGGGGCUCAUCCCUGUGGACACAUUCUCGGCAUUGUUGUAGGCAAAUUCCGCCAGCGCCAACUUUUCUACCCAGUCAUUCUCUCUGUCAUUGACAUAACACCUCAGGUAUUGCUGGAGGACACCGUUUGCUCUUUCCGCCUGCCCGUUGGUUUCAGGGUGCCGGGCAGUCGAAUAAUUGACCUCCACCUGCAGUAAGCUCAUGAGCUUCCUCCAGAACCUGGAAGUAAAUUGUUUUCCUCGGUCUGAGACCACCCUCAAUGGCACCCCGUGCAACCUAAAAAUGUGUUCUACAAAUAACUUCGCUGUCUCUUCCGCCGUGACUGCAUGCGAGCAAGCUACAAAGUGGCACAUCUUUGUUAGUAGGUCUACCACCACCAUGAUGGCUGUUUUCCCUUUGGACUUCGGCAGAUCAGUCAUAAAAUCUAUCGACACUGCUUCCCAAGGUCGUUCUGGGGUUGGUAAGGGUUCUAAUAGCCCCGCCGGCGCCCGCCUUUCCCCUUUGGCUCGCUGGCAUUGCUCGCACCCUCUUACAUACUCACGUACAUCUUCCCUCACCUUAGGCCACCAAAAUUCCCUGGUGACCAACCACAUGGUUUUGUGUUGUCCAAAAUGCCCCGCCGUAGGGCUGUCGUGCAACUGCUUGAGUACCCUUCCCCUUAACUCUCCUUCAGGGAUAUACAGUGCCCCUUUGUAAUACAAAGCUCCAUUUCUUUCCUCGAAACCCCCUGGUUCCUCUCCCUCACCCCUAAGACCUCUGAGCUUAUUCUGGGCGUAUUCAUCAUUCUCUGUUUCCUCUACCAGUUCUCUUUGUCCCACCAAUGCCGCCCCACACACCCAGCGGUCCUCUGGAAUGACAUGUCUCUCUUCGGGUGCUCCCUCCUCCAAAUAUUCAGGUUUGCGUGAGAGAGCGUCCGCCCUAAUGUUCUCUGGGCCUGGCACGUAACAAAUCUCAAAGUUAAAUUUGGAGAACUCCUGGGCCCAUCUCACUUGCCGUUGGUUGAGCACUCGUGCCGUCCUCCAAUACUCUAGGUUCUUGUGGUCAGUGCACACUUGCACCUUAUGUUGUGCGCCAAAUAGCAGGUGCCUCCAUCUCCGGAAUGCCUCAUGAAUGGCUAGUAGUUCUCGGUCAUACACCGUGUAGUUCCUCUCGGAUUUGUUCAGCUUUCGCGAAAAAAAGGCACACGGUCUCCACUCUGACUCCUUCUUCCCUGGCUGCAGAAGCACCGCCCCAAUCGCUCUGUCUGAUGCGUCAGUUUCCACUCUCAGAUGCCAGCCCACCAGCGGAUCAUGUAACGCUAGCCAGCUCAUCCCCAAUAUAAUGGGAGCUCCUCCCAAGGUGGCCACAUUAAAAGCUAUCAGUUCGGUGUGCCUUGCUACCUUCAUUAUCAUUGGGACGGUCUGCAAGCUGACUUCUCCUCCCAACAGCUCCCUGCCAUCGAUCGUGGUCACCUGCAGGGGGUUGCUUAAAGGGAUCGUCUGUAUCUGGUGUUCAGCUGCAAACUCUUUGCUCAUGAAAUUGCAGGAGCUGUCUGAGUCCAACAGCGCCUUUAUCUUUAGAGGGUGUCCGUUUAGCAGCUCUAGCGUCACUUCUAUCACUAGGGCGGGUUUAGGAGGUUCUGGCGUGGGCACUCUCACUGCUCUUUGGCCUGGCUGCUGUGCCCGACAGUGGCAGCCAGGCGUUGACUUGCUCCGGUAUUUCUUCCUCUCUUCCAUCCACAGCUCCUACCAUCCCUUGCCAUUCCUUCCUCUGGGGGCAGACUCUGGCAAAGUGACCUGGCUGUUGGCAGAGAUAGCAUUUCCGGGCGCCUUUUCCCUCCUUCUUUCCCCCUCACUGGGCUUUGAAACUGCGCGCGCGCGCUGUUCCGAUUUCCAUCGGCUCUGCCGGCGGGAAAGUUGGCUCUGGAAUGUCUGGAAUGCGGAACUCCUUCCAACGUUCCCCUUUCCCUUCCCGCCUCUCCAAUGCUCUCGCCUCCUGGCGCGCUCCUAUGGUCAGCGCUGAUUUGGUCAGCUGGUCCAUAGACUCCGCCCUGGGCGCCCGGGAAAGUUCGUCUUUCACAGCCGAAGAAAGCCCUUCUUCAAAGAGCAUUUGAAUGGGUUCCGCCGAUAAGUCCCACCCCAAUCUGUGAACAAGCAUGGUGAACUCAGUCCAGUACUCACGGACAGAUCGGCUCCCCUGUUUGCAAGCCAUUAACUGUCUGCGCACCACUCCCUGUUCAAUAUCGCUGGAAAACAUCAGAUCCAUGGCGCGAAAGAACUUCAUCGUGUCCUUUAGGACGUCACUAUUCGCUGCCAUCAGGGUCUAACCCAGUCUCUCGCCCCUUUUCAAGAUGCUCAAUCACGAAAGCCACUCGUGAUUCCUCGUCAGGAAUUCAUCAAACUGCAGAUUGAGGGCAUAUUGCAUUUCUGUCCGAAAGCCAUGAUAGUUUUUGGGCUCCCCCCCAAACUUCUGCACCAAUCCUGGUACCUUUCUGGCGAGCUGGGUGGCUUUCCCCUUUUGUCUGCAUCCUGAGCCCUCCUCUCCUCAAGCCUCGCCGUCUGCAUCGCUAGCUGGACCUCCAACACCCGGUACCUUUCUUCCAGGCUUGGACCCGCUCCAGCUCCUGCUUCUCCGGUUCCGGCUGGGUUGCUCAUGAUACCUUCUCCUGCACAAGCUGCUUUCAAAGACUGUCGGAAUGCUGUGAUGGGAUGAUGAGCUGCUUGUGCGUAAAAUCGUAUCCCCUCAGAGUUUGUUCAAGUCCACAAACCUCUGUCUGUGACGGAGCCCCUCAGACAUGGCUCCUCUAGUCACUAGCAGAUUCCGACAGUGGUUGCUUUCGUAAUCGCUUCCAACAUAAAAGCUCCUUAACGGAAACACGUCUUCUGGACUCUCUGCGUGACAGUUUCCGGCGAGGAGUGGGUGUUCUUACAGGAGGUCCUGAAACCUCCCCACUGUUUUCGCUGGAAGUGUCUCUGAGCCAUCCCUCCAGCUCAGCUCCUCUCCCCCUGCUGGUUCCCUCUUCAGCUGCUGAGUCUCUCCCAACCUGUGUGAGCCCUUUCACCUCCCUGCUGGUUCCCUCUUCAGCUGCUGAGUCUCUCCCAACCUGUGUGAGCCCUUUCACCUCCCUUCCGUCCGAUGGCAGUUCCCUGACAAGAAGGAAGUAAAAUAAAGAAUAAAAAAGAAAAGUUGAAUAAUAAAACCGGUUCAGAAUACAAAGAAGGAAACAGAAAAAGAAAUUAAAAAUUAAAAUGUAAGAUAUCUGAGAAGAAAUAUUCUAAUAUUCUAAUAAAAAAUAAAAAUAAAGAAAAAGAGAGGAAAAGGAAAACUAAAAGAGGCAAAGCUAGGUAUAAAAAUCCAAAAGGGGAGAUUAAAAGGAGAAACCAAACAAAAAAUCAUACACCAAACCAACUCAAAGAAUGAUAAGGAAGGGCAAGACAAAAAUUAUAACACAGAUAGUAGAGAAGAGACAGAACAAAAAAAGAAAUAAAAAAUAAAAAAUAAAGGGGAGAAGUCCCAGUCAAUUUUCUUCACCAAAGCAGCUAAGCCCACAUCAAAACAAAAACAAAAAUAAGAGUGGAGGUCCAACAGAAAUCGUCAGAGAGGGAAGGAACGAAAAAAGCUAUUUUUAUAGAUGCAAUCUAACGUCUCAAGAAGUAUUUGGUGUCUCAAAAAAGAAAGUAAAAAAUGGUGAUGCUCACUAUCCUUCCCACGUCCUCAAAGAAACAGAAGGGACGGGUAGUUGAAUAACUUCUUCUCCCCACUCCUUGUUUCCACAUAAAAAUUAACCAAACUUCAUAAAAAGAAACAGCUCAGUCUAGUUUGGCUUCUCACUUCCACAUAAGGCUGCUUUGGCACAAAGAGAAAUUUUAAAAAGAAAUCAAUAAUAACUAGAGAAGGCUUCCAAACAAUUGACAACGCAGUUCAUUAAAAUCGAAAGUAAAAAAAAAUUCUUAGAAGUUUCCUUUACCUCCAGUCCCAGACGUCCACCAAAAAGGCAAAUAAAAAGUUAUUGUUCAGGGUUUUAUCCCUUCCCCGCUUAAAUCCACCUUCUUAAAUUAAAUAAAUGUCUCUUUUAAGUUAAAAAAUUCCGUUUGAGGUAACUCACUGUUUCAUCCGCUCUGUGGGUAAUCUUUGCAUAUAAAUAAGAUUCCAGACGAGGCUGACCUCCUUCUUAGCACCCCGCUACUUCCAAAUCGUUCCAAAUUAACAUAUCCCGAUAGAUAUUGCCAAUUAAAUUCGGGUUUCUUACUGUUUGAGAAUCAAUCGCUGCAACGUGCAAGCCUGGGGCUGCGCUUUCGGAGGGUAGAAAAUGGUGUCCCGUAGUGCCAGCGUCUCAAUCUCGCCGUUCUCUUCACCUCUAAACAGAGGCUACCUGACGGCCAAGGGACCCUGUGACAUGCUUUCAUGGAUAAAAGAGAUUUGAGUGUGCUUGCUGUGUAUGAAUAUUCUACUUUCCUAGACCGCUUCUCUGCUCUUUCCAUUCCAGUGAGUGCCCUCCCAACCCUUGGCUAGCUACUUUGAUAUCUGCAAAUGGAAUUUCCUCAUUCACCUUGUUAUUGCCAGUUCUUUCUUUUUACACCACAGGAGAAGGACAAGCCAAAUGGAUAUUUCCACAAUGAAAACCUAAAAGCCGUUGUGGGUAACUUAUUUGCUGCUGGCAUGGAGACCACUUCUACCACACUGCGCUGGGGACUGUUACUAAUGAUGAAAUAUCCUGAAAUUCAGAGUGAGUGCUUUUCAUUGGGUUGGCUCCCAUUACUCUAGCUAGCCUAUCUUGAUUCUAGUUAUACAUAACUACAGUGGUACCUCUGGUUACGUACUUAAUUCGUUCCGGAGGUCCGUUCUUAACCUGAAACUGCUCUUAACCUGAAGCACCACUUUAGCUAAUGGGGCCUCCUGCUGCCACCACGCCGCCGGAGCACGAUUUCUGUUCUCAUCCUGAAGCAAAGUUCUUAACCUGAGGUACUAUUUCUGGGUUAGCGGAGUCUGUAACCUGAAGUGUCUGUAACCCGAGGUAUGACUGUAUCUGGGGGCCUGGGAAGCUGGGGGGCUGAGCCCCAGAAUAUUCAACGAGGGGGGUGGCCCUCCUCAAUAUUCCACAACCGGGUGGGCCUUGUUGGGCCUAGUUUCACUGUGUGACAUGACACAUGUCAGCCCCCCCCCAAUGUUGGGUGUAGUCAAGCAUGCAUGUUCCUGACUUUCGCUUCCUACAUAACUAUAAGCAAAUUGUGUAUUUUCACUAAAAUUCUCAGGUGAAUAGCAUCUUCCACAACUUUGCAUUAUGUUGUUAGAUUGUGCUCAUAGAUCAGCCAGCCCCAUUGAAUAAUUAGCUGUCAGUUACUCCAGGAAAUCUGAAGAUAUGAGUUGGUGGCAAACAUAUGCUUUUGAGUUUGGCAUUUGGGGGGUGGGGACAAAAAAACCCCACCAAUGAGUUUAUUUUAACAACAAAAUUCCCCCUCCACUGCCCCCAGAUAAGGUCCAAGAAGAAAUUACGAAGGUUGUUGGAUCUUCUCAACCAAGGAUUGAGCACCGAACGAAAAUGCCAUAUGUAGAUGCAGUGAUCCAUGAGCUCCAGAGAUUUUCUGACAUUGUCCCCACAAAUCUGCCACAUGCAACCACUGUGGAUGUUACCCUCAAAGGCUACUUCAUUCCAAAGGUAAUCACUUUGAUUAAACUGCAUUCUUUGCUCAGCUGACUGCAAUCAUUUCUUCUUUAAUUAGGACAUUACACUUUAGGCUAUGAAGAAGAAUAGUUUGGCUUUUGAUAAACUGCAUUCUUUGCUCAGCUGACUGCGAUCGAUUUCUCCAUUAAUUAGGACAUUACACUUUAGGCUAACCCUAGGAGCAGGCCCCACUGACCUUCUUGUAAAGUAGGGGGCCAUUGCCCCCCUUGGGGCCCCUGUUGGAGCCCCAGUUCCCUAGUCUGGGCAUACUUGCUUCUGCCUUCUUUGCUGCAUACAGGUCUUUAUUGAGUCAUCCCAGAAACGUUGGGCAAGGGGCUCAGUCAACUGUUCUCUCAGCCCAAUGAUGACAGUUUAAGGAGCUAAUGGUAUAUUUGGAAAACUCAGCAGUGGCCAGAGGAUUGGAGAAGAUCAAUCUACAUCCCAAUCCCAAAGAAGGGCAGUGCCAAAGAAUGCUCCAAUUACUGCACAAUUGCACUCAUUUCAAACGCUAGCAAGGUUAUGCUUGAAAUUCUACAAGGCAGGCUUAAGCAGUAUGUGGACCGAGAACUCCCAGAAGUGCAAGCUGGAUUUCAAAGGGGCAGAGGAACCAGAGAGCAAAUUGCAAACAUGCGUUGGAUUAUGGAGAAAGCUAGAGAGUUCCAGAAAGACAUCUACUUCUGCUUCAUUGACUAUGCAAAAGCCUUUGACUGUGUUGACCACAGCAAACUAUGGCAAGUUCUUAAAGAAAUGGGAGUGCCUGAUCACCUCAUCUGUCUCCUGAGAAAUCUCUAUGUGGGACAAGAAGCUACAGUUAGAACUGGAUAUGGAACAACUGAUUGGUUCAAAAUUGGGAAAGGAGUACGGCAAGGCUGUAUAUUGUCCCCUGCUUAUUUAACUUAUAUGCAGAAUUCAUCAUGCGAAAGGCUGGGCUGGAUGAAUCCCAAGCCGGAAUUAAGAUUGCCGGAAGAAAUAUCAACAACCUCAGAUAUGCAGAUGACACAACCUUGAUGGCAGAAAGUGAGGAGGAAUUAAAGAACCUUUUAAUGAGGGUGAAAGAAGAGAGCGCAAAAUAUGGUCUGAAGCUCAACAUCAAAAAACGAAGAUCAUGGCAACUGGUCCCAACACCUCCGGGCAAAUAGAAGGGAAGAAAUGGAGGCAGUGAAAGAUUUUUUCUUUCUUGGGCUCCAUGAUCACUGCAGAUGGUGACAGCAGCCGUGAAAAUAAAAGACACCUGCUCCUUGGGAGAAAGGCGAUGGCAAACCUAGACAGCAUCUUAAAAAGCAGAGACAUCAUCCUGCCAACAAAGGUCCGUAAAGUUAAAGCCAUGGUUUUCCCAGUAGUGAUGUAUGGAAGUGAGAGCUGGACCAUAAAGAAGGCUGAUCGCCAAUGAAUUGAUGCUUUUGAAUUAUGGUGCUGGAGGAGACUCUUGAGAGUCCCAUGGACUGCAAGAAGAUCAAAUGCAUCCAUUCUUAAGGAAAUUAGCCCUGAGUGCUCACAGGAAUGACAGAUCGUAAAGCUGAGGCUCCAGUACUUUGGCCACCUCAUGAGAAGAGAAGACUCCUGGAAAAGACCCUGAUGUUGGGAAAGAUUGAGGGCACAAGGAGAAGGGGACGACAGAGGACGAGAUGGUUGAACAGUGUUCUCGAAGCUACAAACAUGAGUCUGACCAAACUGCGGGAGGCAGUGGAAGACAGGAGUGCCUGGCGUACUCUGGUCCAUGGGGUCACGAAGAGUCAGACACGACUAAACGACUAAACAACAACAACAAUGGUAUAUAAUCUCUGGAUUAUAUUACGGAUCAUUUCUUGCUUUAAAAAAAAAAAGACACUGAGGACUAUACCAUAAUGAUUUGCUUGACAGCCGAUAUCCAUUUUUUAAAUAACUCUUGCUUUUCCUUCGCAGGGGACUCACAUCAUGCCACUACUGACCUCCGUGCUGCACGAUGAAUCUCAGUGGGAAAAACCAUACCAAUUUUAUCCAGAGCACUUUCUUGACUCUGAAGGAAAGUUCAUAAAGAGAGAUGCAUUCAUGCCUUUCUCUGCAGGUAACUCAAUUUCUGUCUAUUUAUACAUAUCCAAUGUGAGCUUAAUGAACAGGCCAUCCUAAGUAUAUUAACAUAAAAUAAAACUUGGAUGGAGGACCCAGUGACAAACUUUGGAGUACUUAUAUCUGUCAUUUAGAACUGCAAUAAGAUACCCAACAUCAUUCAUUUUCAGUAGGGCAGCUUCUGGGCCAGUGGCCAAAUUGGACUCUUCAAGGCUCUCUAACCACCCUCAGAACUUCCCCCAGGCCUUGGCUUUCAGUGGACCUGCUCUGUGUUCCCCUCGUGGGCUUUUGCCUGGCCGGAAUGUGCCAUUGAUCUAUGAUAAUGCCACCUGCUUGCUAUGGUGGAGAAUGGAUACAGGCUGUUUGGAGGAUUAGGGUACAAGAAACUCUCAGACCGUGGGCUGAAAAACAUCCGCUCCCCUUGGUUUUCAGCCCUGUAGAAUGCUUCUUGCUGGGAGUUCAUCUUUGCAUACUUGCCAACAUUCCUCAGAUGAAAAUCAGGACAUUUUUCAUACUCAUCCAACUCACCCUCCUCAAAAGACCAUUUGUGGUCCCCUGUCCACCUUCAGAAAAAGUCGAGUGCUGCCAUUUCUAAACCAACAGGACUCACGACUUGCACCCUCCACUGUCCUGAGAAAACCUCUUAGGCCCAAUCUGAUUUUAUUCUUUUGGUAGAUUUACAAAAGGAAAAACACACACCGAUAAACACAUUUUAGAAAGGGGCAAGAUUAGACGUGGCUGCCCCAAGCAUUUUUUAAUAAAUCCAGACUCCUUGUGCUCCGUUCUGCUCCCCUUCCUCCCACCCAGGACUGCUCUGCCCUCUGCCUCCCCUCAGAGCCACUGCAUCAUCAUGCUAGUUCUCGACAGCCACAUCCUCUCCUCCAGCAGCCACUACGGAGGGGCAAGUGCUGACUCAUACUUUUCCCCAAGCUCAGCAGCAGAGCAUGCAUUGUGGGACUGGCACUGGAGAAUUGGGACACUUGGAGAACAUGCACUUCUUCAAGAUUAGUGUUCAUUCUUGUUGCAUUUUAGAAUGGUAUCAUUAUGAAAUUUCAAACAGUAAGCAGUUUGAUGCAUUCCAUUAUAGAUAAACCAAGAAAAUGUUGUUAAGUAAGCAAGGAACCCAGUUUCAAUCCUGCUUGCGCUUCCUUACAGGUCGGAGAGCAUGUUUAGGUGAGAAUCUUGCCAAAAUGGAGCUCUUCCUCUUCUUUACAAGCCUCCUGCAGAGAUUCACAUUCCAGCUACCUCCUGGAACAUCUGAAGAUGACCUGGAUUUGACCCCUGCUGUUGGGUUCACAACACCUCCCAUGCCCCACCAACUCUGUGCUCUGCCACGUUCAUAAGACGCAAAGUUCAUGGGUUGCUUAUCCUCCCUGUGUGUGCAACGCAAACCGCUUUUUAAACACCCUUAUUAACCAUGGACAUUUUGGUUCAGUAGACUUCCAGUAGGAUUGGCCUAUGCUGUGUCACAAAACUUAAGUGUUGCACACUAUGUUCUGCUUAAUGUUUGUAGUAAAUACGAUUCCGUGUUAAUUGUAGUGCUUUAGUUCAGCCUAGGAAUUAAAUUUUGAAAUUUACUUGAUUCUGUUCAGAAAAAAAUUACCUACUAACAUUGAAAUCUAUAUAUUUUGUGUCAAGCCACUUCAUUCCUUGUGUAUUUUAUUGUGUCAUCAUGUGGUUCUAAGUGAAGGGCACUUUUAAAAACAAAGAUUUAAGUGAUGGAUGGUCAAAAGGGAGUAGUCAAAUGCAGGUGUUUCUCCCCACUCUGAUCAAGAGGCUCAGAUUUUAACUGAGGGCCGCAGGUAUAGCAAGUCUACAGGUAAAAAAAAUAGAUUAAGUCUUUCCAUGUGAAAAGGUAAAGGGACCCCUGACAGUUAAGUCCAAUGAUAAAUUCCACUGGUUUUUUUAAAAUUUGCAUCAGGAAUCUGAUUAAGAACAUUGUCCCCAGAUUUAUCUAUAUUAUAUAUCCUAUAUUCUAUAUUCUAUGCAUCUAUAUCCAGAUCAUAUUUCCAAAAGAUAAACUCCCUGUUUAGGAAAUGUCUUUGGGUCUUUGGAUGAUUUUACAUAAAUACAAAGCACCUUUGGGAGGUUGGGCAGCAUUAGGAUCAAGAUAUUUGAAAGUUCAAACAACUCUUGAAACAGUUAAGUCUGUUAGAAAGAUAUGGAAUAUAUUAGCCAAUAAAAAUAAAUUUCAUUCACUUUCAGAUGCAAAACUUACUCUGUGGAGAAAUUCUAUUUUAAAAAUUGGGGGCGGGGGUAUUAUGGGAAAACUGAAUGGGAGAAAUCACUGUUUUAACUGAGGGCCGCAGAAAUAGCAAGUCUACAGGUAAAAAAAUAGAUUAAGUCUUUCCAUGUGAAAAGACAUGAUGUGUCACAAAACUUAAGUGUUGCACACUUAUGUUCUGCUUAAUGUUUGUAGUAAAUACGAGUCCGUGUUAAUUGUAGUGCAUUAGUUCAGCCUAGGAAUUAAAUUUUGAAAUUUACUUGAUUCUGUUCAGAAAAAAAAAUUCCUACUAUAAUCUGUAUUUCGGUAAUAUAUAUAAUCUACAUAUAAUCUGUAUAUUUUGUGUCAAGCCACUUCAUUCCUUGUGAAUUUUACUGCUUCAUCAUGUGGUUCUAAGUGAAGGGCACUUUAAAAACAAAGAUUUAAGCAAUGGAUGGUCAAAAGGGAGUAGUCAAAUGCAGGUGUUUCUCCCCACUCUGAUCAAGAGACUCAGAUUUUAACUGAGGGUCACAGGUAUAGCAAGUCUACAGGUAACAAAAUAGAUUAAGUCUUUCCAUGUGAAAAGAGCAAUGAUAAAUUCCACUGGUUUUUAAAAUUUACAUCAGGAAUUUGAUUAAAAACAUUAAAAACUUUCUGUGUAAAAAUCCUGUUUUAAAAAUUUGGGUGGGUAUGGAAAAACUGGGUGGGAGAUGCUGUGAUCACUAGGCCUGCCCUAUUUUGCUUUCUUUGACUAAAGAGUUAACUUCCCGGCACUGGUGGUGUUUUUAUUGCUGACCUACUCCUGCCUCCAGCUCCUGCCAGCUUAUGAGGACUGAAGGUCUCCACCUUCCCACUGCCCUCUAAGGCUCCUCCCCCAGCAGCCUACAGCUCCAUCACCUUGCAUCUCAUGACUUUGCCGUCAUCAUUUCUCUCCAUGUUCUGGGUGACCAGGGUGAAGGGAGCUGGUCGCAGCAGGAGGGGGAGACUCCCCGGAUGAGGCAGGCCUCAUCAUCUCUGUCUCCUGGCCCCUUCCUCUCCUGUCUGAACUGCUCUCUGCCCCAGCUUCUUCCCACUCACGAAACCCUGUUACCUCUUCAGCUUCCAACACCUCCUCCUCCCAGUCAGCUCCCUGUUCUCCCACUGACCACUCAUCCCACCACCAGUGCCCUGACUCUGAACUUUCUCCCCCUGGGGGUUUCCAGCUGCUGCCUCCCAUCUCAGCCAGUCCAUGAUACCUACCCACU
Podarcis lilfordi (Lilford's wall lizard) is the source of this 24580-nucleotide non-coding RNA. The record is from the annotation of a GenBank genome assembly. NCBI's taxonomy places the organism in Eukaryota, Metazoa, Chordata, Lepidosauria, Squamata, Lacertidae.